Non-coding RNA from Rhopilema esculentum, 4398 nucleotides. Lineage: Eukaryota; Metazoa; Cnidaria; Scyphozoa; Rhizostomeae; Rhizostomatidae. The record is from RefSeq and is a predicted model, not a curated record.
CCUUCAGAUUUUCUCACGUGUUUAAUCUUAAAAAAUAUCUCAAGGGAAGCAAUAGCACACAAGGGCAGAUUCACCAUUACUCAGAUACUGUUUCACUCACGUAUAAAUAUAUAGAACGUGCUUAUAACAUUAGUCUCCAGGCAAAAAUACUGUCUUUUAGCCGUGUUUUUUGAGAAACCAUAGUACUGGUUACCCUCGACCAAUAGAACCUGCUCGAAAGUGAUUCUAUUAAAAAUGGGAUCAAAGUUUUUAUUUUAAACGAUUAGGUGUCUAUUUCUGGUACAACUGAAAUAGAAAAUUGAAAAAGAGCUAUUUGCUACAGAUUAGAUAUUCUAUAUCAUGUUAUUUGAUACUACACUUUUGUGUUCUAAAAUGAAGCUUUCUAGCACUUGGCAUUAAAGGAAUCUUUGAUGAAGUUUUAGUAUCAAAAUGACUAAUAAAUUAAGAAACAGUGUACUUUUUCUGAGCUUAGUUUCUUAUAGGAAAAUCCCUGUAUUUGUAAGUUCUAGUCUCUGUAGAUUACAGAAACCGCGGAUGCGUGGGGGGAGGGGGGGGGCUAUGGGGAAAAUUAUGGGGUUCCCCAAUAAUUUCCAAAAUAUACUGAAAGUCAUUCAAAAAUCGCCCUGCUUUUGGUUCUAGCAUGUCUAGUCCCACCAAAACGUUUUAGUCCCCUCAAUCUGUAAUAUGCUCCGCGGUCGUUAGUAGAUCGAAGUAAGAUAAUGAACUGCAAUGGCAUACCACGCCUAUAUACCAAACUACAAUUACAUACACCAAGCCUUCAUUUCAAAUCUGGCUCUUUGACGGUAAGUCUGAAUCAUUCGAUGCUUUACAUCUACCCAUAGUCAAUUUUCAUCUUCGCCAUGUUGUUUUUGUGUACAGUGUUGUUUUCAACCACGAAGUCCAUCCCAAAGUUAGACGUUUUUCCGUUUGUGGUAGGCAAGUUAUCUUAAACACAUUUUAAUCGAAAUCUCAUUGAUCCUUCGAAGUGCUUUGUUUUAUUUUAUAUUUCAUUUUGUAAGCUUAUUAAAAACCAACCAAAAGAAAAUUAAUUCCGUGAUUCAUUUCUGCAUCCUGAAUUGAUAGAUUGGUCUCAUGCUUUUUUGUUAUCAAUUUUAAUUUAUUAAGUUUGGUAAAUGCAAUUUUGUAUGACUAUAUGGCCUCUGCGUCAGUCGCCACAAAACCAAAGCUGUUUCUUCUCAAGGGAAAAUUAUUCACCAUAUGUUGUAUUUGUAUCGAGCCAAGAUAAUCAGAGAUAUUUUUACUCAUGUUUUUAGUAUGAUGUCUUUUGAAUAUCCUUUAGUUGAGCAAGGCAGUGAAGCGAUUUUUUGAGCAGCGUUAUAGAUUAGAAGGGCGUGAUGUUUCUUGUUGCAAUAGACUUCGGUUAAAGUCGCAUGAAACGUUUUGUGACUGAAAGCGGAGUGUGACUAUAAAUGGAGCUACAAAAACUGUUGAAACUUUUCAAGAAAAGUUUAUAUUUUUUCUUUACUUUAAAAUCUAGUUCUACCGCCCCCCAUUACGAUUUGCAAAUUGUUAAAUGUAUCUACUUUUUCUUUCCGGUUCUUUCAUCUUCGCUCAUACGUAAAUUCUAAGGCUACAGAGCCUAAUUUUGUAGGUAGCAUUCCUCAUUGGUGGUGUGAUGUGUCGUGGGAUUUUUUCGAUGUUAAAUAUUCCAUGGCCUAAAAAAGAUUAGUGCAUCAUUUAUUAAAUUCAAUUUGAAAUCGCUUCAGUGGUUUUACGCGAAGCAGAUAAGAGUCGCAGUCAUCGGUGUUCGGGCUAGGGUGGGAGGCGUUGGGCUGUGUCCCCCUAGAUUUUGGGACGUGGUUAUUGUCAGAUAAGACGAAUAACUGGGGACACAGCCUUGCAGAGGGCAAAAGGCAAGAGCUUCACAAUAAGAGACUCGUGAUUCUGUUUAAGUGCAAGGGCGGGAGCCGUGUUCCCUUCAUCCAGAUAUCAUUUCUAACAAGUCUCUUUUAAUCCAAAUCAAUCAAAAUAGACAAGACUGCUAUUGUAGGUUCUCUUAGGUAUGACAUGACUGUUUGCUACUGUAUUUAUGUACAAGAAUAACUUGAACAUUUCAAUUAAAGAUUUACAGGCUGUUAACUUUUAGACGGAGGUGUAGUGCUAUGAAGUAUGCAAGGGGGGCUCUCACGCAAAAGGGUGCAAAGAACAACAGCAAAGGUGCAAAUUGGUUCUUUUCAUCCUUAGCAAGUCAGGCUCAGCCUUCCUAGAACCACACCCUUGCUUUCGUAAUGUCAACGGAUAAAACUUCAUGUGUUUAGAAUGGUACUGAAAAAUGCAAAAAUAGGGUGUUUGUGCACUGUAGAAGGACUCAGUUCCAGAUUUUGACUCCAAGAACAUUGAACUUUACUACUUAAGGAGAAGGCUCAGAUUUAUUAUAAUCAAUAUUAUUCCAAUCCUCAAACAUGACUAAAUUGGAUGAAGUUUUUUAGAAUUUGUUGGGAUGGAAACGCUAAUGAUUUAAACUUUUCGCUAAUUAAUGUGGCUAGAUCUAGUUUGACUUCACCCCGUGUAAAUUGUGAAAUGGUACUUUAUUCAGACCAACAGCGCUCAGCCAUUCUACGCGAGUCCGGGCCGUACGCCUUCAAUCACAGUUGAUUCUGCAGGGCAUACUGUGCUUUCAGGCAGGCAGUGGUUUACAGGUACUCUACAGCCACUCCGCCCAGUGGCUAAGAGUCAAUUGACUGGAACUGUUUUCAUGCUGACCAAGGGCUUUGUCUAUUUGAUGAGCCUUUGGGCCUUAGGCCCUCUUUCCGUCGUAGGACUUUGGCGCUUGAAAAUUUGUUAGAGAAGCCGAAAUUAAAAAUGUGCAAAAAUGUAAUACACUUUUUAAAGGGAACACAAUUUGGACCCUAUUUCAACCGACACUGUUUCUUUGUUUAAAGUACAUAUCACAUUUGCAUCGCAUAUUAUUAAUCUUACACUGCAUCAACCUAUGAGUAAUGGCCUAGAAAAAUCUUCAUCACGAAACAUCUUCAUCACAAAAUCUCUUCUUCACGAAGAUAGACAUGAUAUAAGAAACGCUAUUUCAUGAAAACACUUUAUUCACAAAAAACUCUUCGUGAUGAGAAAAUUUUGUAAAAAACGAAACAAAUUCAAGCUGGAUGAGUGUACAUCGAAAUUUCACCCUUAACUUGUUUUCUCAAAGAAAUUCAGAUACAUAAUAAGUCAAAAUGUCGAUAAACUUCAAAGUAUAUUAUUAUUUUAAUUAAUUUCAUAAAUUUCACCAAUUUAAAGCCUCAAUAUUCUUAUAACUAUUUUCUUUUAAAAAGUGUGUAUUUCUGCAAAUCUUAAGUCAUUCACAUCAAUAAGAAAUUCUUUGUGAUCAACUUAAUCUACAUAAAUUUCCUCAUAGAUCUAACUCCAAUUUAAUUUCGAAGAUUUAACCGCAAGCAAUGAUUUUUCCCCAAAUUAAUUCAGAGUCUAAAAAGCAGCUUACGUGCUCACAAAUUGAGUGCUCACAAAAGCGAUAUUCACAGACGAAAAUGAACAAAAACCAUUGUCUCUUUGUUGUCUAUAUUAUAUCAAACUUGUCUAUUGCAUGCCUUGACGUAACUGAUUGAUAAUAAUAAGAAAUAGUUAAUUAUUUACAAAAGAGACGAGUCAUCGCGGAUUAAGGGUUUCGGUUGCGGGGAAAUGCCGCUUUUACUAUGUGUGGGAUAAACGUGAGAUAAGAUUUCAGCGUAAAGAAUAUUUGAACGAGCAACAGUGAGUCAGAGUUCUUCUUCUAAUGUUCCUUGCUACCCGCAAGUUUGAAAGAAGCUCAGCAUCCUGUUUUGUCGAGUUGUUCACCUGCUUGAGUUUAAACCCAACCCACUUUGCGUUUUGUGGCCAACAAACGGCGACUGCAAGACUACAAGCAAGUCAUCUGCCCUUUUCCUGCUGAAAAAGUCACAUUUUAGUCCUAAUUUGAAUCCAGCAAUGGCUGAAGUCAGUAAAAGAGGUAGCCGAAGCACACAUGGCUUGGACGAUGUUAUUUUGGAAACGUCAGAGUCCGAUUUAAAAGCGAUUCGCAAUGAAACCGCCGAGCUCAUGGACAACUUUAACAAAUUGAGGGAGAUGAAUGGAAAUACUAGAAGACGAAUGGCCUCUCUUCAAUCUGAAUUCGAAGGCGCAAAAUCGAGGCUAGAAACCCUGAUGCAUCGACAUCAAACUGCUACACCUGACUACAACGCCUACCAGAUCAUGCGCAGAAUAUCUCGAUCAUCGAUGCCACGUAAGAUUUCACAUCAGAGCGACUCGUGAACGUUCAACCACAAACAAUGUGUAUACAACAUCAUUUUAAUGUAAUUAAUUACAAUUUUUCAGUAAGAGGUAGUUAGAGCUUCUUUUAUAAAUAGUGUAAUUUUUGAAUUAGCAUUCAAGCUUUCUUAUUUCAAA